AACGAACGCUGGCGGCAGGCCUAACACAUGCAAGUCGAGCGCCCCGCAAGGGAGCGGCGGACGGGUGAGUAACGCGUGGGAACGUACCCUUUGCUACGGAAUAGCCUCGGGAAACUGGGAGUAAUACCGUAUGUGCCCUUCGGGGAAAGAUUAUCGGCAAAGGAUCGGCCCGCGUUGGAUUAGGUAGUUGGUGGGGUAAUGGCCUACCAAGCCGACGAUCCAUAGCUGGUUUGAGAGGAUGAUCAGCCACACUGGGACUGAGACACGGCCCAGACUCCUACGGGAGGCAGCAGUGGGGAAUCUUAGACAAUGGGCGCAAGCCUGAUCUAGCCAUGCCGCGUGAGCGAUGAAGGCCUUAGGGUUGUAAAGCUCUUUCAGUGGGGAAGAUAAUGACUGUACCCACAGAAGAAGCCCCGGCUAACUCCGUGCCAGCAGCCGCGGUAAU
This 445-nucleotide ribosomal RNA is filed under the name uncultured bacterium. Its description in RNAcentral is "bacterial SSU rRNA". It matches the Rfam family "Bacterial small subunit ribosomal RNA", at positions 29 to 524 of the family's 1533-position model. The record is from RNAcentral.